UGACCACGCUGACUGGAGGA
RNAcentral lists this unclassified non-coding RNA (20 nucleotides) under Mus musculus (house mouse). Its description in RNAcentral is "oocyte_clustered_small_RNA464". The record is from RNAcentral. Lineage: Eukaryota; Metazoa; Chordata; Mammalia; Rodentia; Muridae.